RNAcentral lists this long non-coding RNA (681 nucleotides) under Monodelphis domestica (gray short-tailed opossum). Its description in RNAcentral is "lncRNA (ENSMODG00000043897.1)". Lineage: Eukaryota; Metazoa; Chordata; Mammalia; Didelphimorphia; Didelphidae. The record is from RNAcentral.
GCUACUUGGAAGAGGAAAAAAAAAACAGCUCAAAAUAGUCUCUUGAUUGUGCAGAGGAGAAAGAAUACUUGGAAUCAAAAAGUGAACAAGGGUAGAGGGACAUCAGAAGAGAUCCUGGGCAAUCACUUGUUGAAGAUAUUGGAAAAAGGAUUCCUACUCAAGCACAAGUCAGAUUUAAUGGCCCCUGUGGUCUUUUCCAACUCCAUGAACCUCUACUGAGUGGAAUAGCACUGAGUUCCAUGAGUCUACCAAGUCAGUGGACAUUUCUUUCUAUAGCUGUAACUUUUUCUCUACUUUAAGUAAUAGAUAUUUGAGCCUCUUAAGUGGUUUAUCCCCAGUGGGAUAUAAUACUAAUAAGAGCUUAAAUUCAUAAAAUAUCUUUCUGGUUUACAAAGUUAUUUCCUUAUGAGAAUCCAUGAAGUAGGAAGCAUAAACUUUAUCCUUAUUAUCCCAUUUUACAGAUAAGAAAACUAAAGUUGAGAAAGAUUAAGAACACUGAAGGCAAAGAAACAGAAAUCUAUCAGAGGGAGAGGAGAGCUAGGACAUCAGAUUUAAUUAGAUUAAACACUUGCCAAUGAUUAGAUUUCUGUUUCACAUCUUCUCACCUAAGACAGCUGCGGGCAUCUUCUAUUUGCAUCAAGAAUUGGCAGGAACCUGAUAAUUGCCAAUCAAAGACAGCUG